RNAcentral lists this ribosomal RNA (427 nucleotides) under uncultured bacterium. RNAcentral's name for it is "bacterial SSU rRNA". It matches the Rfam family "Bacterial small subunit ribosomal RNA", at positions 356 to 774 of the family's 1533-position model. The record is from RNAcentral.
GGGGAAUAUUGCGCAAUGGGGGAAACCCUGACGCAGCGACGCCGUGUGAGGGAAGAAGGCUUUCGGGUCGUAAACCUCUGUCGGGAAGGAAGAACCCCCCAGGUCCGAAUAGGGCCUGGGGCUGACGGUACUUCCAAAGGAAGCACCGGCUAACUCCGUGCCAGCAGCCGCGGUAAUACGGAGGGUGCAAGCGUUAAUCGGAAUCACUGGGCGUAAAGGGUGCGUAGGCGGCUUGUUAAGUUGGAUGUGAAAUACCCGGGCUCAACCUGGGGGGUGCAUUCGAUACUGGCAGGCUAGAGUGCAGGAGAGGGAAGCGGAAUUCCUAGUGUAGCGGUGAAAUGCGUAGAUAUUAGGAGGAACACCGGUGGCGAAGGCGGCUUGCUGGACAAAUACUGACGCUGAGGUGCGAAAGCGUGGGGAGCAAACA